Molecule: ribosomal RNA, 91 nt
Filed under: Levilactobacillus brevis
Lineage: Bacteria; Bacillati; Bacillota; Bacilli; Lactobacillales; Lactobacillaceae
Source: RNAcentral
ACCUGUUCCCAUGCCGAACACAGAAGUUAAGCUUCAGCACGCCGAUAGUAGUUGGGGGAUCGCCCCCUGCGAGGAUAGGACGUUGCCACGC